CACCGAAGUCAAGCAUCAUUGGGCGUGGUCAGUACUUGGGUGGGUGACCACCUGGGAAUACCGCGUGCCGUU
This 72-nucleotide ribosomal RNA is filed under the name Caerostris extrusa. The record is from RNAcentral. Lineage: Eukaryota; Metazoa; Arthropoda; Arachnida; Araneae; Araneidae.